This 10081-nucleotide small RNA is filed under the name Histoplasma capsulatum. RNAcentral's name for it is "hypothetical RNA". The record is from RNAcentral. Lineage: Eukaryota; Fungi; Ascomycota; Eurotiomycetes; Onygenales; Ajellomycetaceae. RNAcentral also lists the same sequence under 1 other name.
AGAAGUUGAAACAUAUUAAGAAAUGACGUUAAAUUCAUUUUUGAGUGUAAAUGUGAUGGAUUGAAAAUUUGCCUGCGCUUCUAUCUCGUAGGAAACCUGGGGGUAUUCCAGAAACAAGCAAAGUCAAAACCAUCAUUGACUGGAGUAUGGUCAUAUCGCUGGCACAAAAGCAACAAGAAAAUAUCACUGCCAUGAUUGACCCUUCCGUGUGUCGUGGUUUUCCCUCAUCUUCGUCCCUCGAAACGCCAGAACAAUCGAACAAUAUCCACAGCAACAUCCCACUUCCAACAGAUUAACGCUUCUUCGAUGAAGCAGCAGCCUUCUCUUGUGAUUCUUUCAGCACCUUCUUGACGAUCUUCUGUUCCUCGAUAAGGAAGGCUCGGACGAUCCGGUCUUUGACACAACCACCGCAGCGGGAACCGCCAUAAGCACGGGACACGGACUUCUUGGGGCGGGAGAUCUGGGAAUAUUCACGGGGUCGGAGGGCGGGAAUGCCUGGGAGUUUGAUACCACAGUCACCGCAUUUUGGCGCCGUUCCCUUCUUCUUGAUGUGGAGGUAUCGAAGGUUGCCGCCCGGGGUCUUAAUGAUGCGAACUUUGUUUGACCGUGUGUUGUACGGGUUUCGCCGUCGGUAUUGAAGUCUGGUAUUGGCCAUUGUGACUGUCCUCGAAUCUCUGCUGUCGUCAAGCUCUGGUUCGGGGAGAUGGCGUUCUCGUUGUCGUCGCUGUUCGUUGUUUCAACACGCGAUUCGAUUUUGUGUGUGUGUUGCACGCAAAUUCGAGAUGUGCGCUAAAAAUUUGGCGAGAUGACGCUAAUACAUAUAAAGAUUAGCGUAUAUUUUACUUCAGCCGCCACCGGAAGGAUUUCUUCCAACGCGUUCCUACAGAUGUCAGGGACGAACACUCCCGUCUUGUCCACGCCCACGCAGAAGAUCUGCUAAUCUUCCCUGUCGCGGUGGAAUCUCUGAUAACUGUUACUUCGCAUCUGGAUUCUUUACUGGACGGGUAUACCUGCUUGCCGAUGGUGAAGCUGGACACAAUCCUCAUUUCCACCUGCAUUAUCAUCAUCAGCUGGAUGUGAGGCAGAUUUUGUUAUUUGGUGUCUUUUGCGCUCAUAAUGUCAGCGCUUCCUCCUCCUCCGCCUCCGGGAUGGGGUGCUGCAGCUCCCCCGUCGAUGCCUCUCGCUCCCCCACCACCCGGAUUCCGACCCCCAGCUGACCCUUUGGUCGGGAAGUUUGCACAGAAGAAAAACGAAUGGCUCAGGACGCAACGAAACCGUUUCGGGGAGAAGAGAAAAGCCGGCUUUGUGGAAAGCCAGAAGGCGGAUCUGCCACCGGAACAUCUCCGGAAGAUUGUAAAGGAUAUAGGAGAUGUGUCUCAGAAAAAGUUCAGUACCGACAAAAGGAGCUAUUUGGGGGCAUUGAAAUUCAUGCCUCAUGCGGUCCUUAAGUUGCUGGAGAAUAUGCCAAUGCCUUGGGAAUCAGCUCGGGAAGUCAAAGUGCUCUACCAUGUAAAUGGUUGCUUGACACUGGUCAACGAGAUCCCCCGAGUUAUAGAGCCUGUUUUUCAUGCGCAAUGGGCUACCAUGUGGAUGACGAUGCGACGAGAGAAAAGUGACCGCCGGCAUUUCAAAAGAAUGCGCUUUCCUCCUUUCGAUGACGAAGAGCCACCGUUGUCGUGGUCGGAAAAUAUUGAAGAUGUUGAACCUUUAGAACCCAUUCAGAUGGAACUUGACGAAUCAGAAGAUGCUCCAGUAUAUGAGUGGUUUUACGAUCAUCGACCACUUCUCGAUACCCCCCAUGUGAAUGGCCCAAGCUACAAGGAGUGGAAUUUGACUCUUCCACAAAUGGCAACGCUAUAUCGAUUGAGCCGCCAAUUGCUCAGCGACGUGGUCGAUAAAAAUUAUUUCCAUAUGUUCGAUCUAAACAGCUUUUUAACAGCAAAAGCGCUUAACGUCGCGAUUCCUGGUGGACCCCGAUUUGAGCCGUUGUAUAAAGACGUCGACCCAAAUGAUGAAGAUUUCGGAGAAUUCAAUGCGAUCGAUCGUAUCAUCUUCAGAGCUCCAAUCCGAACGGAAUAUCGAGUCGCUUUCCCAUACCUAUACAAUUCGUUACCACGAAGUGUCAAGCUGUCUUGGUACUCCUACCCUCAGAUCGUUUAUGUCCAAUCAGACCCCAACCUGCCUGCGUUUUAUUUUGACCCAGUCAUUAAUCCGAUAUCAUCCCGUUCUGUCGCUCCAAAGAAUAUAACUGUCAGCCACGAAGAUCAUAUUUUUGGAGCUGGAAAUGACGAGGAUGAAUUUACACUUCCUGGAAAUGCUGAGCCAUUCUUGGCUGAUGAAGAGCUGUACACCAGUGAAACGGCCUCUGCAAUUGCUCUUUGGUGGGCACCAUACCCGUUUGACCGCCGCUCUGGUAAAAUGGUUCGGGCGCAGGACGUACCCCUUGUGAAACAGUGGUAUCUUGAGCACUGCCCACAGGGCCAGCCCGUGAAAGUUCGUGUAUCGUACCAAAAGCUAUUAAAAACUUACGUUCUAAACGAAUUACAUCGGAAAAAGCCUAAGGCACAAAGCAAACAGAAUCUCUUGAGGACACUGAAGGGAACCAAGUUUUUCCAACAAACAACUAUUGAUUGGGUGGAAGCUGGGCUUCAAGUCUGUCGCCAAGGGUUUAACAUGUUGAAUCUGUUGAUUCAUCGCAAAAAUUUGACUUAUUUACAUCUCGACUACAACUUCAAUUUGAAACCAGUGAAGACUCUGACGACAAAGGAGCGAAAGAAGUCCCGUUUUGGAAAUGCUUUCCAUCUAAUGCGGGAAAUCCUUCGCUUAACGAAGCUUAUCGUUGAUGCCCAGGUCCAAUAUCGUUUGGGUAAUAUCGAUGCUUUCCAACUUGCUGACGGCAUCCUCUAUGCUUUUAAUCAUGUUGGCCAACUGACGGGCAUGUACAGAUACAAGUACAAACUAAUGCACCAGAUCAGAUCAUGUAAAGACCUGAAGCAUCUCAUAUACUAUCGCUUCAACUCUGGUCCGGUUGGAAAAGGUCCGGGGUGCGGGUUCUGGGCACCUGCUUGGAGGGUUUGGUUAUUCUUCCUGAGAGGGAUUAUACCUCUCCUGGAGCGCUGGCUAGGAAAUUUACUCUCCCGUCAGUUUGAAGGGCGCCACAGCAAGGGUGUCGCAAAAACUGUUACGAAACAACGUGUUGAAUCCCAUUUCGAUCUUGAGCUUCGCGCUUCAGUCAUGGCAGAUCUUAUGGACAUGAUGCCUGAAGGCAUCAAACAAAAUAAGGUUAACACUGUUUUGCAACAUCUCUCGGAGGCCUGGCGAUGCUGGAAAAGUAAUAUCCCCUGGAAAGUCCCGGGGCUUCCUGCUCCUAUAGAGAAUAUUAUCUUAAGAUAUGUCAAAAGUAAGGCAGAUUGGUGGAUUUCUGUUGCUCAUUACAACCGGGAGCGUAUUCGGCGCGGAGCGACGGUUGAUAAGACUGUGGCUAAGAAAAAUCUCGGACGACUCACGCGACUCUGGCUCAAAGCUGAACAAGAGCGGCAGCACAACUACCUGAAAGAUGGCCCUUACGUCUCUUCUGAAGAAGCCGUUGCAAUUUACACUACCACGGUCCACUGGCUGGAAUCCCGAAAAUUCUCCCCUAUUCCGUUUCCUAGCGUAUCUUACAAGCAUGAUACGAAGAUUUUAAUUUUGGCUCUAGAGCGUUUGCGCGAAGCUUAUUCUGUUAAGGGCCGCUUAAAUCAAAGCCAACGGGAAGAACUUGCUCUCAUUGAACAAGCCUAUGAUUCUCCGGGUACAACUCUGGCGAGAAUUAAGAGAUUCCUUCUCACACAGCGAGCUUUCAAGGAAGUUGGUAUUGACAUGAACGACAACUAUUCAAACAUCAAUCCAGUGUACGAUAUCGAGCCCAUUGAGAAAAUCACUGAUGCGUACUUGGAUCAGUAUCUUUGGUAUCAAGCAGAUCAACGUCACCUAUUUCCGGCCUGGAUCAAACCGUCAGAUUCCGAGGUUCCCCCUCUUCUUACAUACAAAUGGGCUCAAGGCAUUAACAACCUUUCAAAUGUAUGGGAAACCGCCGAUGGUGAAUGUAAUGUUAUGAUUGAGACGGAGCUAUCUAAGGUUUAUGAGAAAAUUGACCUCACCUUACUCAAUCGACUUCUCCGUCUCAUUAUGGACCAUAAUUUGGCUGAUUACAUCACCUCGAAAAAUAACGUUCAGCUCAACUACAAGGACAUGAACCACACGAAUAGUUAUGGUAUGAUCCGUGGCCUUCAAUUCUCUGGUUUCGUCUUCCAGUAUUAUGGCCUCGUAAUCGAUUUGCUCUUGCUGGGCUUGCAACGAGCAAGCGAGAUUGCAGGCCCUCCCCAGAGUCCAAAUGAUUUCUUGCAGUUUAAAGAUCGGUCAACCGAAACUAGACAUCCUAUUCGCCUCUACACAAGAUAUAUUGACAAGAUUUGGGUGUUCUUGAGAUUCUCAGCCGAUGAAUCACGAGAUCUUAUUCAAAGGUUUUUGACCGAACAGCCAGACCCGAAUUUCGAGAACGUAAUCGGUUAUAGAAAUAAAAAAUGCUGGCCUAGGGACUCUCGAAUGCGGUUGAUGAGACAUGACGUUAAUUUGGGUCGUGCAGUUUUUUGGGAUCUGAAGAACCGCCUUCCGAGAUCCAUCACCACCAUUGAGUGGGAUGACACUUUUGCCAGUGUGUACAGCAAGGAUAAUCCAAAUAUGUUAUUUUCGAUGUGUGGUUUCGAGGUCCGCAUUUUACCGAAGAUCCGCAACCAAAAUGACGAGUUCCAAGUCAAGGACAGCGUCUGGUCGUUAGCGAAUAACACGACUAAAGAACGAACUGCAUAUGCGUUCCUGCAGGUCACGGAAGAGGAUAUCCAGAAGUUUAACAAUCGGAUCAGGCAAAUUUUAAUGUCUUCCGGCUCGACUACCUUUACAAAAAUUGCCAAUAAGUGGAAUACGAGUUUGAUCGCUCUGUUCACAUAUUAUCGAGAAGCAGCGGUAUCCACUGUUAACCUCUUGGACACAAUUGUUAAAUGCGAAACCAAAAUCCAAACCCGGGUUAAAAUUGGCCUGAACUCGAAAAUGCCGUCCCGCUUCCCCCCCGCCGUCUUCUACACCCCUAAAGAAUUGGGAGGCCUGGGGAUGAUUUCUGGUUCUCACAUACUUAUUCCGGCCAGCGACAAACGCUGGUGGAAGCAAACUGAUACUGGAGUCACCCACUACCGAGCGGGUAUGUCACACGAUGAGGAAACUUUGAUUCCUAACAUUUUUAGAUACAUAAUACCCUGGGAGGCGGAGUUUACCGACUCGCAACGGGUGUGGAUGGAGUACUCUCAAAAACGACAAGAGGCGAAUCAGCAAAAUCGUCGAUUGACACUUGAGGAUUUGGAAGACAGCUGGGACCGCGGCCUUCCACGUAUCAAUACUCUCUUCCAAAAAGACCGGAGCACUCUCAGUUUUGACAAAGGCUUCCGUACGCGAACCGAAUUCAAAGCCUAUCAACUGAUGAAGAGCAAUCCAUUCUGGUGGACAAGCCAGAGGCAUGACGGUAAAUUGUGGAACCUCAAUGCCUAUCGGACCGAUGUGAUUCAGGCCCUUGGGGGUGUUGAAACGAUCUUGGAACAUACUUUGUUCAAAGCUACAGCGUUUCCUUCGUGGGAGGGAUUGUUUUGGGAACGAGCCUGUCUUGCCAAGGGAACACAGUUGCUUCGGUACGAUGGUACCAAGGUUGGAGUCGAGAACGUUAGAGAAGGAGACCUUCUCCUUGGUCCCGAUGGCGAACCUCGGCGCGCUUUCAACAUUGUCAGUGGACGAGAUCGUCUGUAUCGCAUUAGUAUUGACGCUGACAAGGAAGACCUUGUUGUAACGCCAAACCAUAUUCUUGUUCUUCAUCAUGAAAAGGAAAACCAAAAGCGACAGAGCGAAUUGUCGGCUUCUGCGACAGAGCGCUACGAUACUGUGGAAAUGACAGCCGCCGAUUUUGCUGCUCUGGAUCCAGAAGAAAGGCGUUGGUACCGACUCUUUAGAUCCCCUGGCUUCGAGUUCGGCCAGCAAAACGUACCCAUAGACCCAUAUUUCGUUGGUUUUUGGUUAUGCGAUGGAAUUCGCGCGAGUACCACAAUCUAUACCAGUCCCGAAGAAGCAACCAGAGAGUUUAUCAUCAACCAUGCUGCUGAAUUGGACCUGCAACUUGCUUCGAAAGAAUAUAUGCAACACUCAGUCCGUCGUGUAGCCCGACAAACCAUCUUGGAGCAACGGCUCGCCGUUCAAUGCACAGCACCACAAGAAACUGACAGGACACUUCUCAGCCAUAUCUUGCAGAAAGCUGCGAAAAGUGGCCUAGCCUCCAGCACGCGAACCAUGUCAACCAGCCGAAAUCGCCAGCCUCUUUCCGAAACCUCAGCAGCAACUUCCAUGAAUAUUCUUCCCGGGUUUGCGUCUAAUUCGACUUCAGUCGUUUCCCCUGGUAUCCAUUCUCACGAAAUUCUGUCGUUGCGUAGCUCCUGUUCGCAGCUCGUGCAGAUAACGGAGAAGUCUGGGUUACGUGAAGAGUGCAUGAUUAACCCGCCGUCAUCGAGAGAGGAUCUCGGGCUCGAUUUAUUUGACACACAUAUUGAAGCCGAUGAAAUCCAGGGCCUGGAUGAAAACUUGACCGGACAGAAGCACCGCCUACGAACGGGCUGUCGAGCAUAUGGAGAUCUCACUGUCCAUGAGGAAGGACAAAUUCUUGAUAAUAUCAUUAGCCGACCUGUUGGCACUCCUGAUAUUGGUACGCUCCUUCGGGCUCUCGAAGAGUUGGGGUUACCUACAAAUCGCGCAGAAGGGCACGGAGUUGAAAAUAAACGCAUACCAUUUAUGUACAUGAAGAGUUCUCGAUCAAUCCGGCUAGCUCUUCUCGCGGGGCUGAUCGAUAGUGAUGGCUGGUACUGUCAACCUCAGAAUACGUUCUGUUUUGGCGAGAGUGAACGCAUUUCGCCUACUCUUUUCUGGGACAUCGUCACGUUAGCACGAUCAUUAGGUUUGAGUGUUUCUACAGAGCAGCAUACGAUGCGUAGCCCGGCUUGCACAGCAUAUAAACCCCGGUUUGUUGCCCAGAUAUCCGGAAAUGUAGCAGAAGUUACCUGCCUCCUCGCGCGAAAGGGAGGUGUCAAAAGUCCCGUUUCUCAGGCUCAUAGUUUCACUAUUAAGGGGAUUCAUCUUGAGUCGGAGAUGACGGAAUGGGCGGGCUUCAGAGUCGAUAAAGACCAGCUCUACCUGCGACACGACUUUCUUGUAUUACAUAACAGCGGAUUUGAAGAAUCUAUGAAAUUCAAGAAGUUGACCAACGCGCAGAGAUCAGGUUUGAAUCAGAUUCCUAACCGUCGCUUUACUCUGUGGUGGUCACCAACAAUUAAUCGUGCAAAUGUUUAUGUUGGUUUCCAGGUCCAGCUUGACUUGACUGGCAUAUUCCUACACGGGAAGAUCCCAACCUUGAAGAUUUCAUUGAUCCAAAUCUUCCGUGCCCACUUGUGGCAAAAGAUUCACGAGUCUGUCGUCAUGGAUCUCUGUCAAGUAUUCGACCAAGAAUUGGAGCAGUUAGGUAUCGAAACUGUUCAGAAAGAAACUAUCCACCCCAGGAAAUCUUAUAAAAUGAAUAGCUCAUGUGCCGAUAUUCUGUUAUUCGCCACCCACAAGUGGAAUGUCACUAGACCGUCUCUUCUUUUUGACACCAAGGAUGUGAUUGAACCCACUACGACGAAUAAAUUCUGGUUAGAUGUACAACUGCGUUACGGUGACUAUGAUUCUCAUGAUAUCGAGAGGUACGUUCGUGCCAAGUACCUCGAUUACACGACGGAUAGCAUGAGCAUAUACCCAUCCGCAACUGGCCUAAUGAUUGGUAUCGACCUGGCGUAUAACCUAUACUCGGCCUAUGGUCAAUACUUCCCUGGUUUGAAGGCUCUGGUGCAGCAAGCUAUGGCAAAGAUCAUGAAGGCAAAUCCGGCCUUGUACGUACUAAGAGAACGUAUUCGGAAAGGCCUCCAGCUUUAUGCCUCAGAAAGCAACCAGGAAUUCUUGAAUUCCCAAAAUUAUUCCGAAUUGUUUAGUAACCAAAUUCAGCUUUUUAUUGAUGACACUAAUGUCUACCGUGUCACAAUUCAUAAAACAUUCGAGGGUAAUUUGACGACAAAACCAAUCAAUGGUGCGAUUUUCAUAUUCAAUCCGCGCACUGGACAGCUGUUCCUGAAAAUCAUCCACACUAGUGUCUGGGCGGGCCAAAAGCGUCUCGGUCAAUUAGCCAAAUGGAAAACGGCAGAGGAAGUUGCCGCACUUAUCAGAUCUCUGCCGGUUGAAGAACAACCGAAGCAACUGAUAGUCACAAGAAAGGGUCUCCUCGAUCCACUCGAGGUUCAUUUGCUAGAUUUCCCCAAUAUCUCCAUCAGAGCGUCUGAGCUUCAGCUACCUUUCCAAGCUGCGAUGAAGGUCGAGAAGCUUGCGGACAUGAUUUUGCGCGCGACUGAACCGCAAAUGGUUCUUUUCAACCUCUAUGAUGAGUGGCUGAAGACAAUAUCGUCAUACACUGCAUUUUCCCGGCUUAUUCUAAUACUUCGAGCUCUCCAUGUGAAUCCUGAGAAAACGAAAAUCCUUCUUCGUCCAGAUAAGACAGUCAUUACCCAAGAACACCAUAUCUGGCCCACGCUGUCAGAUGAGGAUUGGAUCAAGGUUGAAGUCCAGCUCCGUGACUUGAUUCUGAAUGACUACGGCAAAAAGAACAACGUUAACACUCAAAGUUUGACUAGCAGCGAAGUUCGUGAUAUUAUUCUUGGAAUGGAGAUUAGUGCGCCGUCCAUGCAGCGACAGCAGGCUGCGGAAAUUGAAAAACAGCAGGAGGAACAGAAGCAGCUCACAGCGGUCACAACCAAAACUCAAAACGUCCGAGGAGAAGAGAUAGUUGUUACGACUACUUCCCAGUAUGAACAACAAGCAUUUGCUUCAAAGACCGAGUGGAGGACUCGGGCUAUUGCGACAUCAAAUCUUCGAACCCGGGCCAACAACAUCUAUAUUUCUUCUGACGAUAUCCAAGAGGAGGGACACUACACGUAUAUCAUGCCAAAGAAUAUCUUAAAGCGGUUUAUCACAAUCGCAGAUCUUCGAGUGCAGGUUGCUGGAUAUUUAUAUGGUGGGUCACCGCCUGACAAUGAUCAAGUUAAGGAGAUCCGGACGAUCGUGAUGAUCCCACAAGUUGGAAAUACUCGUGAUAUACAAUUACCACAUCAACUCCCCCAGCAUGAAUAUCUCAGUUCUCUUGAGCCUCUUGGAGUUAUUCAUACGCUCUCUGGAAACGAACCAUCGUAUAUGACAGCGAUGGAUGUUACGCAGCAUGCGCGCCUCAUGAAUGCGCACUCCUCCUGGGACAAGAAAACUGUGACUAUGACUGUAUCGUUCACCCCAGGUUCUGUGUCGUUGAGCGCGUGGGCAUUGACACCCCAGGGUUAUAAAUGGGGGGCUGAAAAUAAGGACACAUCCUCUGAUCAACCUCAAGGUUACUCAACCAGCAUGGGAGAAAAAUGUCAGCUUUUGCUCAGUGACAAAAUACGCGGUUACUUUUUAGUUCCGGAGAACAACGUCUGGAACUACAGCUUUAUGGGCAGUUCUUUCAGUAGCUUAGAAAAGCGACCCAUAUAUGUGAAGAUUGAUACCCCAUUACGCUUCUAUGAUGACCAACACCGCCCCCUACAUUUCCAAAAUUUUGCCGAGUUAGAGGAUAUCUGGGUUGAUAGAGUCGAUAACUUUGCAUGAUCAUGCCGAGUCUCCUGCUCUCAUCGACUUAUGUGUUAAAUAGAAGGCCUUUAUUAAUUUCCUACUUGUACCUGCUGUUUCAUUGGCGAGUGGUCCGUUAAUUUGUUUUUGUUACUUUUAUUCUUUGACUUUUCAAUUUGCGCUUGUUUUGUAUGCAUAUGUACUGUACGUUACCACAAAUAAACCAUGUUCUGCACUGUAUGAGAAAAGUCCCGCCUAGAAAGAAUAAUGCCAUUGUAACUUAAAAUAUUAUUGGCGCUAUCUGUUCAUUCGUUGUAUUCAUAGGUGACAAAAAGCCCAU